GAGGAAUAUUGGUCAAUGGACGAGAGUCUGAACCAGCCAAGUAGCGUGCAGGAUGACGGCCCUAUGGGUUGUAAACUGCUUUUGUAUGGGGAUAAAGUCAAUCACGUGUGAUUGUUUGCAGGUACCAUACGAAUAAGGACCGGCUAAUUCCGUGCCAGCAGCCGCGGUAAUACGGAAGGUCCGGGCGUUAUCCGGAUUUAUUGGGUUUAAAGGGAGCGUAGGCCGGAGAUUAAGUGUGUUGUGAAAUGUAGACGCUCAACGUCUGACUUGCAGCGCAUACUGGUUUCCUUGAGUACGCACAACGUUGGCGGAAUUCGUCGUGUAGCGGUGAAAUGCUUAGAUAUGACGAAGAACUCCGAUUGCGAAGGCAGCUGACGGGAGCGCAACUGACGCUUAAGCUCGAAGGUGCGGGUAUCAAACAGGAUUAGAUACCCUGGUAGUCCGCACAGUAAACGAUGGAUGCCCGCUGUUGGUACCUGGUAUCAGCGGCUAAGCGAAAGCAUUAAGCAUCCCACCUGGGGAGUACGCCGGCAACGGUG
RNAcentral lists this ribosomal RNA (539 nucleotides) under uncultured bacterium. RNAcentral describes it as "bacterial SSU rRNA". It matches the Rfam family "Bacterial small subunit ribosomal RNA", at positions 356 to 896 of the family's 1533-position model. The record is from RNAcentral.